This 382-nucleotide ribosomal RNA is filed under the name uncultured bacterium. Its description in RNAcentral is "bacterial SSU rRNA". It matches the Rfam family "Bacterial small subunit ribosomal RNA", at positions 29 to 414 of the family's 1533-position model. The record is from RNAcentral.
AUUGAACGCUGGCGGCAUGCCUUACACAUGCAAGUCGAACGGCAGCACGGGAGCAAUCCUGGUGGCGAGUGGCGAACGGGUGAGUAAUACAUCGGAACGUGCCCAGUAGUGGGGGAUAACCCGGCGAAAGCCGGACUAAUACCGCAUACGACCUACGGGUGAAAGCAGGGGAUCGCAAGACCUUGCGCUAUCGGAGCGGCCGAUGUCAGAUUAGCUAGUUGGAGGGUAAAAGCCUACCAAGGCAACGAUCUGUAGCUGGUCUGAGAGGACGACCAGCCACACUGGGACUGAGACACGGCCCAGACUCCUACGGAGGCAGCAGUGGGGAAUUUUGGACAAUGGGCGCAAGCCUGAUCCAGCCAUGCCGCGUGCGGGAAGAAGG